This 454-nucleotide ribosomal RNA is filed under the name uncultured bacterium. RNAcentral's name for it is "partial 16S ribosomal RNA". It matches the Rfam family "Bacterial small subunit ribosomal RNA", at positions 28 to 507 of the family's 1533-position model. The record is from RNAcentral.
GAUGAACGCUGACAGAAUGCUUAACACAUGCAAGUCAACUUGAACUUCGGUUUGGGUGGCGGACGGGUGAGUAACGCGUAAAGAACUUGCCUCACAGAUAGGGACAACAUUUGGAAACGAAUGCUAAUACCUGAUAUUAUGAUUAUAUGGCAUCGUAUAAUUAUGAAAGCUAUAUGCGCUGUGAGAGAGCUUUGCGUCCCAUUAGCUAGUUGGAGAGGUAACGGCUCACCAAGGCGAUGAUGGGUAGCCGGCCUGAGAGGGUGAUCGGCCACAAGGGGACUGAGACACGGCCCUUACUCCUACGGGAGGCAGCAGUGGGGAAUAUUGGACAAGGGACCAAGAGUCUGAUCCAGCAAUUCUGUGUGCACGAUGAAGUUUUUCGGAAUGUAAAGUGCUUUCAGUUGGGAAGAAAAAAAUGACGGUACCAACAGAAGAAGUGACGGCUAAAUACGUG